RNAcentral lists this RNase P RNA (344 nucleotides) under uncultured Prevotella sp. Its description in RNAcentral is "Bacterial RNase P class A". It matches the Rfam family "Bacterial RNase P class A". From Rfam's summary of the family: Ribonuclease P (RNase P) is a ubiquitous endoribonuclease, found in archaea, bacteria and eukarya as well as chloroplasts and mitochondria. Its best characterised activity is the generation of mature 5'-ends of tRNAs by cleaving the 5'-leader elements of precursor-tRNAs. Cellular RNase Ps are ribonucleoproteins. The record is from RNAcentral. Lineage: Bacteria; Pseudomonadati; Bacteroidota; Bacteroidia; Bacteroidales; Prevotellaceae.
UUGCCGCUGGCUCCUAUAUGGGGCGAGAGGAAAGUCCGGGCAGCAAGGGCGCCCCACUUCCGAAAAUAGAAGCUAUUGGUGACAGUAGGUGACGGCAGAAGAAAAUAACCGCCCUCUCUUGAGGGCAAGGGUGAGAAGGUGGUGUAAGAGACCACCAGACGAUGGGUGAUCAUCGUGCUGUGUCGGCUGGGGGCUGCAAAUUCAAGUAAACCGUCGUCUGAGGGAUGCCCGCCCGAAUCUUUACGACGGAGGGUAGAACGCUUGAGCCUAAGGGUGACUUUGGGCCUAGAUAAAUGGCAGGCAGCACAGUACUCUGUGACACAGAACCCGGCUUAUAGUGGCAC